AAUAAAUAUUUUAUUAAAACUUUUAAUUUAAUUUGCUAAACACAUUUAGGACUGGUUUGGUUCAUAUAUUUUUGACUUUGGAAUCAGAAUGGAAUUAAGUAAUUUCAACAGUUUUUGUUUGUUUUAUGACAGGAAUUAAAUUUUGAUUCUCAUUCAACUCGGAAAUGAAAUAAUCUAAUCUAUUUAUGACCCAAUCCAGUUUAAAUUCUAGGGAUAAUUGCCUAUAUACUCCUCAUAUGUUUGAAAAUAUCCGAUUUACCCCUACCUUUUUUUUUUUCUUUCUAAAAUACCCCUCAUAUAUUCCACCGUUAUUGCAAAAUACUCCCGCAGUUAUCUCCUUUUAAGUUAAUCUGGGUUAAACGUGAGUUAAAUAUCUACCACAGUUAAAAAAUUAAAAUGCCAAUUUUGCCCUUAACUUAAGGGUAAAUAAGAAAGGUUGGUGACAGUAGAGGGGUAUAUUGGAAAAGACCAAAAGUCAAAACACUUUUUGUGCCCUGAUUAUAAGGGCAAAUAAGAAAGACAAUGAUGGUAGAAAGGUAUAUUUGAAAGGGCAAAAUAGUAAUUUUAUAGAGAUAAUAAAAUUACUUAACAGAUUUUAACUCUAAGGGUAUAUUAGAAAUAUGUUAGAACGUAGGAAGGAUAUUUUUAAUAUUAGCCUUCUAAGAAGGAUAAAUCGAAAAGUCGGAAACUUUUCAGGGAUAUAUAAGCAAUUGCCCCUAAAUUCUAAAUUGAUCCAAUCCCAAGUAAAUCGUUGAAAAUCCUCUCUAACAAACACUUUGCCCUUCCUUUCCUUCAUCUCCAUCCUUUUCCACAAUCAAAUCUCUCUCUAUAAUUUCGAUUCCAAUAAUAAACCAAGCUUUUU
RNAcentral lists this long non-coding RNA (862 nucleotides) under Ananas comosus (pineapple). RNAcentral's name for it is "long non-coding RNA (ACOM_LNC033903)". Lineage: Eukaryota; Viridiplantae; Streptophyta; Magnoliopsida; Poales; Bromeliaceae. The record is from RNAcentral.